RNAcentral lists this ribosomal RNA (447 nucleotides) under uncultured bacterium. Its description in RNAcentral is "SSU rRNA". It matches the Rfam family "Bacterial small subunit ribosomal RNA", at positions 26 to 518 of the family's 1533-position model. The record is from RNAcentral.
AGAGCGAACGCUGGCGGCAGGCCUAAUACAUGCAAGUCGAACGGAUCCUUCGGGAUUAGUGGCGGACGGGUGAGUAACACGUGGGAACGUACCCUUUGGUUCGGAACAACUCAGGGAAACUUGAGCUAAUACCGAAUGUGCCCUUCGGGGAAAAGAUUUAUCGCCAUUGGAGCGGCCCGCGUCUGAUUAGCUAGUUGGUAGGGUAAAGGCCUACCAAGGCUACGAUCAGUAGCUGGUCUGAGAGGAUGAUCAGCCACACUGGGACUGAGACACGGCCCAGACUCCUACGGGAGGCAGCAGUAGGGAAUCUUGCGCAAUGGGCGAAAGCCUGACGCAGCCAUGCCGCGUGAAUGAUGAAGGUCUUAGGAUUGUAAAAUUCUUUCAGCGGGGACGAUAAUGACGGUACCCGCAGAAGAAGCCCCGGCUAACUUCGUGCCAGCCAGCCGC